CUGAGGUCGUGGGUCACUUCUCUGCCACUUGCUCAGUCUCCUGUGUACCAACUCCACCAAGCUGAAGCUUUUCCUCCUUGUGCGGUAUUCUUUGCAGCUCAAGUUUUACCCUCAAGUUUUACCCUCAACUCAAGUUUCACCUUGUACGACCCGUCUUUCGUUGGCCCUAUUUGCCUGCAUCCGUUAGGUUGGCUCCGUCAGGUGGUCGUUGCAUCUCUCUUCUUCCUUUUUCGUUGCCACUGUUUAGCUCUGUUGUGGCCUUCUGGAGUUGCUGUCUUGAGCUUGCCACGUGCUCCAGCUGCUCCCACUCCCAACUUGCUGUUUGCCUUCCACUCUUGUACGCCUUCCCGCUCCGCUGCCCCGUCUUUCAUUUUGUACUGUUUUCCUGCUCCUCAGUCCUGUCUCCAUCUACUCCAUCCUGCCUCCAUCCUGCAUCCAUCUUCCCCCACUUACUUCUUCACCCACUUCCGCUUUCCCCUCACACAAAACUGUUCCUUUAGCUAUCUUGCACGCCUUCUCCCACCUGCUCUGACCUCUUCCAACCUGACCUAUUAGUUGACUGCCAUCAUGAACCAUGGUGCUUCUCCUCUUGCCUGCUCGUCGAAGGCCGCUAUUUGCCCUUUUGUUCCUGUUUUGGUGUUGUUGCUGCUCCUUGCCAUUGCCCUCUUUGCUGCACCAGGCCAACUUCGGCUCGCCCCUCUACCGUGUCCUCUCUUAGCCUCCGUUUACUGCUUAAGGGUUCUCAAUUGAGUUUUAAUUGCUGACUUGGCAUCUCCUUAUUGGUGAAUUGAUGGUAGUUCCCCCGAUCAAUUGAGAUGAUGGAUUCAAUUGAGGACAAAAUUGAGAUUUCGCCUCCUUAUUGGAUGGACAGAGUUGCUGAGAAUUCAUUUACGCCGCUCACCGUGUCUCUUCUUCUUCGAAGCUAUUUUCUCUCUUUCUUCUCUGGUUCCUUCUCCCUUGCUUCUCCUUUAAUUAAACAUUAAACAACAGUGCAAGACAAAUCAGAGGUCAUACAUUGGUUUUUGUCGAAAUUUUCUUUGACUACUCACUUUUCUUGACUGGUUGCAACCAUUAUCAGUAUCACAAGUUUUAUUUUCGGACCUUUAUUUUCUCUUUUAUUUUUUCUCUGAGAUACGUUACAAAUGGCUUGUAGAUCUACUAGAUUUUAUUCUGUUCUCCGGAGGUGUCGUCUGCUCUUUUAUUUUCUUAAAUUUUUUUAGAACUUUAAAAAAAACUCAGUCUCUACGCAUUUGGACCCAUUUGGAAUAUUUCCUUUUUCUUUCUUAUUCUUGAGCAUCUGCUGAGUUGUUACGAGAGAAUAGAUGUUGAAAAAAUUAGUUGAGCCGUAGUGUUUUUGCGCUAUAAACAAUCUUUGAUCUAAUUUAAUCAAUUUUGCUUAAGUUUUUGUCGGUGAAUUAAUCCGGAGAAAGGAAUGAGUAGGAACCUUUUUUUUAACCCCUGGAGUAAGGUAAAUUACUCCAAAUUUAGUGCAUAGUGUCUGGUUAUUUCUUGUUUUGAGUCUUUUCCUGCCAUUGUUGGGAUUUUUUUGGUCUCUUGUUUUUGUAUCCAUGAUGGCUUUAUGUUCAAUUCUGCUUAAUUAGACUGAAACUGCUGUAAUGGCUGGACUAAUUUUAUCAGCGUUGACUUGAAAAUAGUACUUUUCUUGAUAGGACUUAUCAAUAUCUAUCUUAUGAAUCUAAGUUGUACAAACUAACCAAUUGCUUUUUACCUAGGGGCAGUUUUUGCUUAAUACGACUAAUAUAAAUGGUUUUGAUGCUUGUAGGUAGUAAAACAUUUGCCAAAGAAGAAGUCCCAAAUAUUAGAUUUUUUGUACAGGCUAGAAGCGGUAAAACCAUUUUAUGGAUUGCAUUGUAUUGACAUAAAGAGGUAUCGAAGACUGCUACUUUUGCUUAAUGUUGAAUUUUGCAUACAAGUUCCGUGAAGAAUUACGGGCUGAAUUUCUAGGAUGAAGAGUGCGAAAGUUGAUUAACUACUUGAGAUGACUGCUUUUUCGCUUUUCUCCUAUACUGUCAUGAUCAAGACGCAAGAUAAUAUCUUUCCAACCACGAUCAGUGUGCAUUUGACAGUUUGAAUUUCUUUUUUUUUCUUAAUUCUUGCCUCGGUGAUGAUUAGUAAUCAUCCAAAAUUAUUUAUGUAUAAAUAUAUUUAUGGGAACAUCAACGAUUGUCUAGGGAUCAACUGGCCUCUUUACUUAUUCGAUAAUUCCUUUCUCAUA
Molecule: non-coding RNA, 2236 nt
Organism: Coffea arabica (coffee)
Lineage: Eukaryota; Viridiplantae; Streptophyta; Magnoliopsida; Gentianales; Rubiaceae
Source: RefSeq, a predicted model, not a curated record